ACAAUUCUCCUUGCUUUAUGAUCAAGCAAACGGUAAGCCUUUGAUCCUGGCUCGGUCCCUAGAUGAAUGAGGAUACGUGUUCGAUCCUUCAAUUUCUUCAAGUGUGGCUUAUCGACCUUUGCAUAUGCGAUACACCCGAAAAUCCUUACAUGCUCAACAUCGGGUUUCUUGGAUCGAAAGCAUUCAUAUGGGGUUUGCUCCUUAAGUGCUCGCGUCAAUAC
RNAcentral lists this long non-coding RNA (221 nucleotides) under Capsella rubella. RNAcentral's name for it is "long non-coding RNA (CRUB_LNC000929)". Lineage: Eukaryota; Viridiplantae; Streptophyta; Magnoliopsida; Brassicales; Brassicaceae. The record is from RNAcentral.